Long non-coding RNA from Mirounga angustirostris (Northern elephant seal), 1422 nucleotides. RefSeq lists it as uncharacterized. The transcript has 3 exons. Lineage: Eukaryota; Metazoa; Chordata; Mammalia; Carnivora; Phocidae. The record is from RefSeq and is a predicted model, not a curated record.
GCCACAGUUGGUUGAGGAAGGAAGGGGCAGUCAUCUGAUCCAGGCCAGAGUUCCUUUUUCUCUACACUUGGAAUUGGGAGAGAGAGGGCAAAAGAUCAACUGACUUUCCUUCUCCAGAGAGCUAGACCUGUAAAAGGAAGAAGAAAGGAGGCUGGACGAAGGAGGAAACCUGAAGGAGGCAGUUUUAAACCAGCUGUAGGACUCCUAACCCUGCGUCUGUGAAUCAUCAAAUAAUUUACACAGAUGAUAUUUGGUCUCUAGUACUACUGUAUCCAUUACCUAUCGCUGCAUAAAAAUCAUCCCAAAACUUUGUGGCUUAGAACACCAACAUCUUCACUGUCACAAGUUUCUGGGGGUCUGGAACCAGGGCACGGCUUAGCUGGAUUCCUUGGCGCAGAGUCUCUCAAGAGGCUGCACUCAAGCAUCAGCAGAAACUGUAGUCAUCUCCAAGCUCGACCAGGGGAAGAUGUACUUCCAAGCUCCCUCCUGUGGCUGUUGGCAGGCCUUCGGUCCUGGCUGACUCUUGACGGGAGGCAUCAAUUCCUUGCCAUGCAGGCCUCUGAAGAGUGCUACUCACAACAUGGCCUCUGGCUGGUGGCUGCUCUCUGUUCCUUGCCACAUGGGCCUCUACACAGAGCAGAUCACAACAUGGCAUCCUGCUUCAUCAGAGAGAAGGCAAGAAAAGCCUGAGACAGAAUAGGAGCAAAGGGCCUGCUCUUUUGUAAUCUAAUCUCAGAAGUGACAUCCCGUCACCUUUGCUGUAUCUUGUUAGAAGCAAGUCAUUAGAUACAGCCUGCACUCCAGGUGAAGGGAUUAGACAAGGGGGUGCACAUCAGAAGGCAGGGAUCAUCAAGAAUAAUGUGAGAAGCUGAUCUCCACAACUACUUUAAAGAAGGCUCUUUUCCUUGCUGGUCUAGUCAAUCUUGGAUCUUAGUUUCAGGGUCAGCCUCCCUGGAGCCACACCAGAAUGUGGCUGUGUCCAAUGUCACCCACCCGGAAUCCAAGACUCCUAAGUUCCUGAUCAGUCCUCUGUUUUCUUUCAUGCGUGUCUAGUUAGGACCCUAGCACACAUACAUGGAGCCCCACAGUGCCAAGCAGAAGAAUUUGACUUUAAAACACAGGCUCUAAGGUUUCUAAACAGAAGAGUGCUAUGACAGAAGUGAUUUUUAAAGAAAGAUUAGUGUGAUGACUGUAAAGUGAGUUGGAGAGGGAAAGACUGGAAAUUACAUUAAUUCCAAUUUAUUUACACUUAGCAUAUUUAUGCUCUACGGUUUUGUAGUUUGUGAUUGUAAAAACAUCCCAUGUGUUUUCAUAAGUCCUAAUAAAAUGGUCUUUGAAAGAAUUAUUCCGGCCAAAAAUAUUUCAAGUAAAAUGCUACAUUGGAAAGUCUAAGACCAAGUUUUAUGAUACACAAUAUUUUCG